AACGAACGCUGGCGGCAUGCCUAACACAUGCAAGUCGAACGAGACCUUCGGGUCUAGUGGCGCACGGGCGCGUAACGCGUGGGAACCUGCCCUUAGGUUCGGAAUAACUCCCCGAAAGGGGUGCUAAUACCGGAUAAUGUCUUCGGACCAAAGAUUUAUCGCCUUUGGAUGGGCCCGCGUUGGAUUAGCUAGUUGGUAGGGUAAAAGCCUACCAAGGCGACGAUCCAUAGCUGGUCUGAGAGGAUGAUCAGCCACACUGGGACUGAGACACGGCCCAGACUCCUACGGGAGGCAGCAGUGGGGAAUAUUGGACAAUGGGCGAAAGCCUGAUCCAGCAAUGCCGCGUGAGUGAUGAAGGCCUUAGGGUUGUAAAGCUCUUUUACCCGGGAUGAUAUGACAGUACCGGGAGAAUAAGCUCCGGCUAACUCCGUG
Molecule: ribosomal RNA, 432 nt
Filed under: uncultured bacterium
Lineage: Bacteria
Description: partial 16S ribosomal RNA
Rfam family: Bacterial small subunit ribosomal RNA
Source: RNAcentral